Small nucleolar RNA from Oreochromis aureus, 187 nucleotides. Its record names the gene U3. It matches the Rfam family "Small nucleolar RNA U3". Rfam says of the family: Small nucleolar RNAs (snoRNAs) are involved in the processing and modification of rRNA in the nucleolus. There are two main classes of snoRNAs: the box C/D class, and the box H/ACA class. Lineage: Eukaryota; Metazoa; Chordata; Actinopteri; Cichliformes; Cichlidae. The record is from Ensembl.
AUGAUUAUACUUCCUAUAGUUUCUGAUUUGAGAAAUGUAUUUCUAAAGUGUAUGGUCUCACUAACCACGACGAUGACUUGUGAUACUUCCUUCCAAGCAUGAAAUAGAUAGAACAAUCAGCUUGUCACUGAUGAUUGCUCUUUGGUUCCUUGUGGUGCAUUGAUGAAAGGAAUACGGUCUGAAUGGU